GCCAUGGCAGCAAGGUGAAGACGGAUGGAGCGCGAUGGAGAGCCGGGUGAGCGAUGAGCUCAUUAGGGAGGUCAGGUGGGGACAGCCCGGAGUUUUGAGAGGUGGAUGAACACUGGUCUGGCUGUGACAGGUGCUCCAUCUGGGGCUGCUGGGGAAGGGGCAAGGCUGCCCUCCCCAAGGGACCAUCUCAUCGUGACCCCCCCACGUGCUAACUUCUCUGAGCCCAGUUUCCUGAUGAGGCAUGGGGGCCACAGGACACAGGCCUGGAAGCAGUGAGAAGCAGUUUCAAGAGGGAGUGCAUCCAGGUGCAGAGAUCUGGGACCGAGAUCUCUUUCUUUGCCUCCCCCACUUCACCUGGGUACCCCUGUGAUGGUUACUAUUGAGUGUCAACUUGACUGGAUUGAAGGAUGCAAAGUAUUGUUCCUGGGUGUGUCUGUGAGGGU
RNAcentral lists this long non-coding RNA (443 nucleotides) under Homo sapiens (human). Its description in RNAcentral is "HSALNT0358372". The record is from RNAcentral. Lineage: Eukaryota; Metazoa; Chordata; Mammalia; Primates; Hominidae.